This 426-nucleotide ribosomal RNA is filed under the name uncultured Pseudomonadaceae bacterium. RNAcentral describes it as "partial 16S ribosomal RNA". It matches the Rfam family "Bacterial small subunit ribosomal RNA", at positions 356 to 774 of the family's 1533-position model. The record is from RNAcentral. Lineage: Bacteria; Pseudomonadati; Pseudomonadota; Gammaproteobacteria; Pseudomonadales; Pseudomonadaceae.
GGGGAAUAUUGGACAAUGGGCGAAAGCCUGAUCCAGCCAUGCCGCGUGUGUGAAGAAGGUCUUCGGAUUGUAAAGCACUUUAAGUUGGGAGGAAGGGUUUCUGGCUAAUAUCCAGGAAUUUUGACGUUACCGACAGAAUAAGCACCGGCUAACUUCGUGCCAGCAGCCGCGGUAAUACGAAGGGUGCAAGCGUUAAUCGGAAUUACUGGGCGUAAAGCGCGCGUAGGUGGUUCGUUAAGUUGGAUGUGAAAGCCCCGGGCUCAACCUGGGAUGGGAACCCAAAUGGGGCGGGUGAGAGUAGGGAGGGGGGGGGGGGAAUUUCCUGUGUGGGGGAGAAAUGGGUAGAGAUGGGGAGAAACAUCAGGGGAGAGGGCGACUGCCGGGGCAAACACUGACACUGGGGCACAAAAGCGUGGGGAGCAAAAA